This 228-nucleotide ribosomal RNA is filed under the name uncultured bacterium. Its description in RNAcentral is "partial 16S ribosomal RNA". It matches the Rfam family "Bacterial small subunit ribosomal RNA", at positions 524 to 751 of the family's 1533-position model. The record is from RNAcentral.
UACGGAGGGGACUAGCGUUGUUCGGAAUUACUGGGCGUAAAGCGCACGUAGGCGGAUUUGUAAGUCAGGGGUGAAAUCCCGAGGCUCAACCUCGGAACUGCCUUUGAUACUGCAAAUCUCGAGUCCGGAAGAGGUGAGUGGAAUUCCUAGUGUAGAGGUGAAAUUCGUAGAUAUUAGGAAGAACACCAGAGGCGAAGGCGGUUUCCUGGGCCAACACUGACGCUGAGG